Molecule: ribosomal RNA, 507 nt
Filed under: uncultured bacterium
Lineage: Bacteria
Description: bacterial SSU rRNA
Rfam family: Bacterial small subunit ribosomal RNA
Source: RNAcentral
GGUUCAGGAUGAACGCUAGCGACAGGCUUAACACAUGCAAGUCGAGGGGCAGCACGGGAGUAGCAAUACAACUGGUGGCGACCGGCGCACGGGUGAGUAACGCGUAUGCAACCUACCUAUCAGAGGGGAAUAACCCGGCGAAAGUCGGACUAAUACCGCAUAAAACAGGGGCACCGCAUGGUGAUAUUUGUUAAAGAAAUUCGCUGAUAGAUGGGCAUGCGUUCCAUUAGGUAGUUGGUGAGGUAACGGCUCACCAAGCCGACGAUGGAUAGGGGAACUGAGAGGUUGGUCCCCCACACUGGUACUGAGACACGGACCAGACUCCUACGGGAGGCAGCAGUGAGGAAUAUUGGUCAAUGGGCGAGAGCCUGAACCAGCCAAGUCCGCGUGAAGGAAGAAGGAUCUAUGGUUCGUAAACUUCUUUUGCAGGGGAAUAAAGUGCAGGACGUGUCCUGUUUUGUAUGUACCCUGAGAAUAAGGAUCGGCUAACUCCGUGCCAGCCGCCGC